GGGAGGGAAAGGAGAAGGAGAAAAUGGAGUUGUUUCUGAAGAAUCUCUUUCUUAAAUCUACACAAGAUUACUUGGUGUUUGUGAGAGAAGUAGCUAGAAAACAACAGCGAUGCAAAAGAGGAGCUAUUUUGCAGUACAUAGCCUUCCUGUCAUGUCUUUCCCCCGGGAAAACUGAACUUCCACUGCCUUUACAGAAGAAACACUUUGCUAAGAUCCAAUCAUUUUGCCUUGAAGAUUCCGAAUAUUCAUGAACAUUCCUUAACCUCACAGAAGUGGUAAAAUGAGGAAGGUUGGAAGGACAGAAAACACCACUGAAGCCUAAUACAAGCACUGCCAGUGUAGAAUAAAUCAUACAUGUAUACAGUAUUGUGUUUUUUUAAUAAACCUGAUGCACUUGGCAGCUAGGCCAAUAGGCAACAAGUCAA
Hemicordylus capensis (graceful crag lizard) is the source of this 425-nucleotide long non-coding RNA. RefSeq lists it as uncharacterized. Lineage: Eukaryota; Metazoa; Chordata; Lepidosauria; Squamata; Cordylidae. The transcript has 2 exons. The record is from RefSeq and is a predicted model, not a curated record.